CGCAGCCAGCUGCGAGAUUUGGUGUGAAUUGCAGGACACAUUGAGCACUGAUUUUUCGAACGCACAUUGCGGCCUCGGGUCCUGCCCGGGGCCUCGCCUGUCUGAGGGUCGGAUAAGACUUGCAAAGGAAAUUCAUUUUUCCAAUUGGCCGCGUCGGUUACCUUCUUUGGAAGAUGAUCGUCGGCUCAAGUGCUUAUAGGUUCCUCCCCGGUCGAGAGAGCAUCGCCCUAGAGCAAGCUCGUCGCUCGGAGAAGACGGACCACGUUUCUCCACGAAGACGAGACGGCUUGAUGCUGAAGAAGACCAUAUUUAUGGGGAACAGAGUUCCUACUGGGUACAUUCRUUUGUCCCACACUAUGCAUUUUAUUUUGACGACCUCAGAUCAGACGAGAUGACCCGCUGAAUUUAAGCAUAUC
This 416-nucleotide ribosomal RNA is filed under the name Cyclosa conica. RNAcentral's name for it is "eukaryotic LSU rRNA". Lineage: Eukaryota; Metazoa; Arthropoda; Arachnida; Araneae; Araneidae. The record is from RNAcentral.